Polypterus senegalus (gray bichir) is the source of this 307-nucleotide long non-coding RNA. RefSeq lists it as uncharacterized. Lineage: Eukaryota; Metazoa; Chordata; Cladistia; Polypteriformes; Polypteridae. The record is from RefSeq and is a predicted model, not a curated record. The transcript is spliced from 3 exons.
GAAGACUAUGGAGUGCCUUUCAAACUCUGCGUGGUUCAGAGCAAAUUACGAGGAAACAAGCAAGAGAGCAAAAAAGUUUUGUGAAAAGAUUACUUUCUUCACCUCAUUCUGGAAGACAAAACACAAACUCAGGAUUGACGAAUAAACAAACAUCCCAUAGUGCUGUAUCCCGUGACCCUGUGUUAGGAUAUAGCGGGUUGGAUAAUGGAUGGAUGGAAGUUCAAAAUGACACCACUGCGUUUAAUACGGAUAAGAAGUUUAUGAAUUCAUUUAUUUAUUUCAUUGUUAUUAAUGUAUUUUAUUUAUU